GUCGAACGGUAACAGGUCUUCGGAUGCUGACGAGUGGCGAACGGGUGAGUAAUACAUCGGAACGUGCCCGAUCGUGGGGGAUAACGCAGCGAAAGCUGUGCUAAUACCGCAUACGAUCUACGGAUGAAAGCGGGGGAUCGCAAGACCUCGCGCGGACGGAGCGGCCGAUGGCAGAUUAGGUAGUUGGUGGGGUAAAGGCUCACCAAGCCUUCGAUCUGUAGCUGGUCUGAGAGGACGACCAGCCACACUGGGACUGAGACACGGCCCAGACUCCUACGGGAGGCAGCAGUGGGGAAUUUUGGACAAUGGGCGCAAGCCUGAUCCAGCCAUGCCGCGUGCAGGAUGAAGGCCUUCGGGUUGUAAACUGCUUUUGUACGGAACGAAAAGGUCUUUUUUAAUAAAGAGGGCCCAUGACGGUACCGUAAGAAUAAGCACCGGCUAACUACGUGCCAGCAGCCGCGGUAAUACGUAGGGUGCAAGCGUUAAUCGGAAUUACUGGGCGUAAAGCGUGCGCAGGCGGUAAUGUAAGACAGAUGUGAAAUCCCCGGGCUCAACCUGGGAACUACAUUUGUGACUGCAUUGCUGGAGUGCGGCAGAGGGGGAUGGAAUUCCGCGUGUAGCAGUGAAAUGCGUAGAUAUGCGGAGGAACACCGAUGGCGAAGGCAAUCCCCUGGGCCUGCACUGACGCUCAUGCACGAAAGCGUGGGGAGCAAACAGGAUUAGAUACCCUGGUAGUCCACGCCSUAAACGAUGUCAACURGYYGUUGGRWSYUCAUUGAGCUYUUAGURRCGMAGCUAACGCRUUAAGUUGACCGCCUGGGGA
Molecule: ribosomal RNA, 823 nt
Filed under: uncultured bacterium
Lineage: Bacteria
Description: bacterial SSU rRNA
Rfam family: Bacterial small subunit ribosomal RNA
Source: RNAcentral